Molecule: long non-coding RNA, 3055 nt
Organism: Gallus gallus (chicken)
Lineage: Eukaryota; Metazoa; Chordata; Aves; Galliformes; Phasianidae
Source: Ensembl
UCAAUUCCUGAUGAUCUGCAAGUCCUUGGAGGCUUCUUCGUGCUGUCCUGAGAUCGCUCAGAGUGUGUGCCCAGCAAAAGGACGGUCCGUUGACGUUUCCUUCAGUGAAAUAUCAGCUCAGUCCGUGCUGUGAAUACCACGGAAUCAACAGUGUUUGCCUUGAGUUGCUGAGAGUGUCGAUGGUCCAGGUGAGGAGCAGGGUUCAUCACCUUGGGUCAGCUGAAUCAGCUCCUUCAGUCGACUCUUCUGAUCACCCUGAUAUCCAUCAGGGGUUGCUGACAGCACCACGGGUGCAUCCCAGUUAAUCAGUAGAGACAGUUCCUCCACCACACUGUCCUCCUGCUUCUCCAUUUUAGCCAGUCUUUCUAGAUAUCUAGAUAUCCAGGAUAUCUAGAUUGACAGGCCCCGUCUGUCCUUUGUCUUACACUGCAGACUCCCAAGGCUUCACAGUGAUGAGGGCUACAAAGGAUUCUGUUAAGCUCUUUGGUGACUCCUCCACAGUUUCAUCUUCCAUCUCCCCUUUCUUUCUUAAUAAAAAAGGCACGAUUCAUUGCAUCCUGUAUCCUUUUUUGCGUACACUGCAACAAGCAUGGAACAGUAAUUAAAGCACAGAGAAAGGCAAUGUGACAAACUGACCCUAUUAGAUGCAAAUUCUGAAUGCAUUCAGCAAAACCCCCAAAGAGAUCCCCACAUACAUUCACAGGUUUCUUUUUUUAGCUUUCCAACCUCCCUUAGAACUUUCCCCUAUUACCACAGUAUAAACUUAGAGCAGCAAUUAUAUUAAUAACACCAUCACUCAGUCAAGGCCUCGAUUGGUAAGACAAAGAAAACACACGAAAAGAGUUACAGAGAAGGUCACGAUGCUUUCAGUCGAUGUAUACACACUCACACCGCAUCUCUUUCAGACAGUGCCACGAGUGGGAAAGGAACCUUCCUAAGCUGAUGGGUUAUGACUGAUUGCCCCCUGCGAGACGGCCAUCCGCCCAAAGGAGAGCAGAGAGGAGGAACUCGCCGGCGGUGGAUGCGACAGGCAGUGCCAGCAGGGCGUCCCCUGCUUCAAAGGGCACUUUGCCUCUCUCACCCACCGCAGCCCCUCUCCUGCUUUGGUUCUUCUCAGGGUCUGCGGGGUGUUUUCCACUGGUGCUCCACCUGGGCUCUGCACCACCCAAUGGCCAUGCGGAUGUGGAGCACCAGUGGAAAACACCCCGCAGACCCUGAGAAGGGUCUGCUUGCAAAACAGAACACACCACCGAGAUUGGACCCCUCUACAAAGCAAAACUCUCACAGACAGUAUGUUCAGCCCCAGUCACUGACUCCCGUGGUUUCUUGCUUGACCCCUAGCUCCAUUUCUUGUGUUUAGUUGCUAAGCUUUCUCUUGCUGGCCAGCAGCUCCUCCUUGUAUUGCUCCAGAAAUCACCUACAGGUGGUAAUUCUUGAUGCAGCACACAGGGAGAGGCACACGUAUCCACCAGAAUGCAACCCUCUGUACCCUGCACCCCCAGCUGCAACGUAACCAAUUCAAUCCUAUCCGUGGGGCUGCUGUGGUCAAACUUCCCAUGUUCUGUCAUUCAGCUUUGGCCAUCAGAGAUGGUUCCCUUCCCCCUCACUUUGGCACACCUCCACCACUGCCCCAUUUCCCUGCUGUGUGCGCACUGCAUUCGGUCCACUGGGGACAAAACUGUCCCCGGGCCCUUCCAGGUCCUGCUCUUGUGCAGCUGCUGUUGUUCUCCGCACUUUCUUCCUAUCCUUACCAUCCCUGUUUCUAUAUACUCUCCAGGUCCUCUCCAUUAAUGUAUCCACGUCCCUUACUUGGCUUCCACCAUUCUGUGUAUCGCUGGGAGAACAUAAAGACAAUCUUGCUCUGCUUAGCCAAAGACCUUGGGAGGUGUAAACAAGACCUGCAGACAUGGAGAGAGAAGGAAAGAUGUGGACAGGCAGAUUGUAACAGUCUGUGCCAGACAGACCCUCUGGACAUAAUCCCGAGACGUCCAGCCUGUACCCCUGGAUGGCUGUGAGCAGAUGCUAUGAAGGCCAUUGGAAAGCCCCACCGAACCUGAGGUGGCUGACGGGGAACCAGGGGUCCAGGUGUGACAAAGGAGCAGAAGGCAGAUUGCCAAAUGGGGGAAGACCACAUUGAUUACAUUUGGAACCCAUACAAAGGAACCUCCUGUUUAUCCUUUGAUGCCGUCUGAUCUUUGUCUUAAAUUGCAGACUCCCAAGGCUUCACAGUGAUGGGGUCCAUCAAGGAGUUUUUUAAGCUCUAUGAUCUAAGCUCACAGUUACAUUUUUGCCAACAGCCUUUCUUGGUGGAUGAAGAAGUGAGCAUGUGCCAGCAGUGUGCCCUUGCAGCUCAGAAAUCAAAGGAUAUCCUCGGCUCCAUCAGAAGAGGGGUGGCAGCAGGCACAGGGUGUUGAUUGUCUCUCUCUACUCUGCCCUCCUGAAGCCCCAUCUGCAGUGCUGCGUCCAGGUCUGGGACCCCAAUACAUAAAAGAUAGGGAGCUGUUGGAGAGGGUCCAGAGGAGGGCCACAAAGAUGAUCAGAGGGAUGGAGCACCUCCCCUAUGAGGACAGGCUGAGGGAGGUGGGCUUGUCCACCGUGGAGAAGCGAAAGCUGCACAGUGACGUCAUUGCAGCCUUCCAUUAGCUAAAAGGAGACUACAAACAGGAGGGCAGUCAACUCUGCAAGGGAUGAUGGUUGCUGGACAAGGAAAAAUGGUUUGAAGUUGAUGGAGGGAAGAUUUAGGUUGGAAGUCAGGGGGAAGUUCUUUACAGAGAGAGUGGUGAGGUGCUGGAACAGCUGCCCAGAGAGGCUGUAGAUGCCCCGUCCAUCCCUGGAGGAGUUCAGGGCCAGGUUGGAUGAGGCCCUGGGCAGCCUGGUCUAGUCUUAGAUAUGGAGCUUGGAAGCCCUGCAUGAAGCAGGUUUUUGUAGCUUGAUGAUCCUUGAGGUCCCUUCCAACACAGGCCAUUGUAGGAGUCUAUGAGUCUAUGGAUUCUUCCUGCACAUCAGGGAGGAUGAAAGCAAACCUAUGGCUCGGCCCUGGCUCGCAGCUGGGCAG